Molecule: ribosomal RNA, 357 nt
Filed under: uncultured fungus
Lineage: Eukaryota; Fungi
Description: eukaryotic LSU rRNA
Rfam family: Eukaryotic large subunit ribosomal RNA
Source: RNAcentral
AUAUCAAUAAGCGGAGGAAAAGAAACCAACAGGGAUUGCCCUAGUAACGGCGAGUGAAGCGGCACAAGCUCAAAUUUGAAAUCUGGCUUCGGCCCGAGUUGUAAUUUGGAGAGGAUGUUUCGGGCACCGCCAUGGCUUAAGUUUCUUGGAACAGAAUGUCAGAGAGGGUGAGAAUCCCGUCUGGAGCCUCGGUAGGACCCAUGUGAAACUCCUUCGACGAGUCGAGUUGUUUGGGAAUGCAGCUCAAAAUGGGUGGUAAAUUUCAUCUAAAAGCUAAAUAUUGGCCAGAGACCGAUAGCGCACAAGUAGAGUGAUCGAAAGAUGAAAAGCACUUUGAAAAGAGAGUUGAAACAGUAC